This 406-nucleotide ribosomal RNA is filed under the name uncultured bacterium. RNAcentral describes it as "partial 16S ribosomal RNA". It matches the Rfam family "Bacterial small subunit ribosomal RNA", at positions 29 to 526 of the family's 1533-position model. The record is from RNAcentral.
AUUGAACGCUGGCGGCAGGCCUAACACAUGCAAGUCGAACGAGUGGCGUACGGGUGAGUAAUGUCUGGGAAACUGCCUGAUGGAGGGGGAUAACUACUGGAAACGGUAGCUAAUACCGCAUACCAUCGGAUGUGCCCAGAUGGGCUUGGCUAGUAGGUGGGGUAAAGGUUCACCUAGGCGAAGAUCCCCAGCUGGUCUGAGAGGAUGACCAGCCACACGGGAACUGAGGAACGGUCCAGAACCCUACGGGAGGAAGCAGGGGGGAAUAUGGCACAAUGGGCGCAAGCCUGAUGCAGCCAUGCGGCGUGUAUGAAGAAGGCCUUCGGGUUGUAAAGUACUUUCAGCGGGGAGGCGUUACCCGCAGAAGAAGCACCGGCUAACUCCGUGCCAGCAGCCGCGGUAAUAC